GGGAGGAUAGUUCAGUUGGCAGAACAAGCGGCGGUAACCAAUCCGACUGUAUAGUCCUCGGUUCGAGUCCGAGUCCUCCCACUA
RNAcentral lists this transfer RNA (84 nucleotides) under Barnesiella sp. WM24. RNAcentral's name for it is "tRNA-Tyr". It matches the Rfam family "tRNA". Rfam says of the family: Transfer RNA (tRNA) molecules are approximately 80 nucleotides in length. The record is from RNAcentral. Lineage: Bacteria; Pseudomonadati; Bacteroidota; Bacteroidia; Bacteroidales; Barnesiellaceae.